ACGCUCGACACCUACGAGAGGCAGCAGUGGGGAAUAUUGCACAAUGGGGGAAACCCUGAUGCAGCGACGCCGCGUGAGCGAAGAAGUAUUUCGGUAUGUAAAGCUCUAUCAGCAGGGAAGAAAAUGACGGUACCUGACUAAGAAGCCCCGGCUAACUACGUGCCAGCAGCCGGGUAAUCUGAGCGGGCUGGCAAGGC
Molecule: ribosomal RNA, 197 nt
Filed under: uncultured bacterium
Lineage: Bacteria
Description: partial 16S ribosomal RNA
Rfam family: Bacterial small subunit ribosomal RNA
Source: RNAcentral